This 497-nucleotide ribosomal RNA is filed under the name uncultured bacterium. RNAcentral's name for it is "partial 16S ribosomal RNA". It matches the Rfam family "Bacterial small subunit ribosomal RNA", at positions 28 to 507 of the family's 1533-position model. The record is from RNAcentral.
GAUGAACGCUGGCGGCGUGCCUAAUACAUGCAAGUCGAGCGAACAGAUAAGGAGCUUGCUCCUUUGACGUUAGCGGCGGACGGGUGAGUAACACGUGGGUAACCUACCUAUAAGACUGGAAUAACUCCGGGAAACCGGGGCUAAUGCCGGAUAACAUUUAGAACCGCAUGGUUCUAAAGUGAAAGAUGGUUUUGCUAUCACUUAUAGAUGGACCCGCGCCGUAUUAGCUAGUUGGUAAGGUAACGGCUUACCAAGGCAACGAUACGUAGCCGACCUGAGAGGGUGAUCGGCCACACUGGAACUGAGACACGGUCCAGACUCCUACGGGAGGCAGCAGUAGGGAAUCUUCCGCAAAGGGCGAAAGCCUGACGGAGCAACGCCGCGUGAGUGAUCAAGGUCUUCGGAUCGUAAAACUCUGUUAUUAGGGAAGAACAAAUGUGUAAGUAACUGUGCACGUCUUGACGGUACCUAAUCAGAAAGCCACGGCUAACUACGUG